RNAcentral lists this transfer RNA (92 nucleotides) under Hepatoplasma crinochetorum (SeqCode). Its description in RNAcentral is "Candidatus Hepatoplasma crinochetorum tRNA-Ser". It matches the Rfam family "tRNA". Rfam says of the family: Transfer RNA (tRNA) molecules are approximately 80 nucleotides in length. Their secondary structure includes four short double-helical elements and three loops (D, anti-codon, and T loops). The record is from RNAcentral. Lineage: Bacteria; Bacillati; Mycoplasmatota; Mollicutes; Mycoplasmatales; Hepatoplasmataceae (SeqCode). RNAcentral also lists the same sequence under 1 other name.
GGAGUAGUACUCAAGUUUGGUUAAGAGGCCUCUCUGCUAAAGAGGUAGUUGGGGAAACCCAUUCGCAGGUUCAAAUCCUGUCUACUCCACCA